Molecule: ribosomal RNA, 495 nt
Filed under: uncultured bacterium
Lineage: Bacteria
Description: partial 16S ribosomal RNA
Rfam family: Bacterial small subunit ribosomal RNA
Source: RNAcentral
GACGAACGCUGGCGGCGUGCCUAAUACAUGCAAGUAGAACGCUGAAGGAGGAGCUUGCUUCUCUGGAUGAGUUGCGAACGGGUGAGUAACGCGUAGGUAACCUGCCUGGUAGCGGGGGAUAACUAUUGGAAACGAUAGCUAAUACCGCAUAAUAGUAGAUGUUGCAUGACAUUUGCUUAAAAGGUGCAAUUGCAUCACUACCAGAUGGACCUGCGUUGUAUUAGCUAGUUGGUGAGGUAACGGCUCACCAAGGCGACGAUACAUAGCCGACCUGAGAGGGGGCUCGGCCACACUGGGACUGAGACACGGCCCAGACUCCUACGGGAGGCAGCAGUAGGGUAUCUUCGGCAAUGGACGGAAGUCUGACCGAGCAACGCCGCGUGAGUGAAGAAGGUUUUCGGAUCGUAAAGCUCUGUUGUAAGAGAAGAACGAGUGUGAGAGUGGAAAGUUCACACUGUGACGGUAUCUUACCAGAAAGGGACGGCUAACUACGUG